GAGAACCAAGAUAUCCAUUGUCAACAGUUGUUCGUUUUGUGGGCCCGUAGUUUGCAAGCCCGACUUUCACAAUACCGGGGUUAAUAUGGGGAGCUGAAGCCCCAGACCUGUCCGUUGACCGUGAGGGUCAACGACCUGAUCAGUUAUCCUUUCGGAAACCAAGUCUAUUUGCUCUAUCGUUCAAGGUUUCCGUAGGUGAACCUGCGGAAGCAUCAUUAACAGUAUCCAACGUUAAAAACCCCGUGCAUUUUAACCCUGCUCUCUUGCAAUCUCUGGUAAAUCAUAGCAUGCGAACAGUUUGAUUCAGAGACUUCUUUAAGGCGUGGGGAUGGCACGACUUUU
Molecule: unclassified non-coding RNA, 342 nt
Filed under: fungal sp.
Lineage: Eukaryota; Fungi
Description: partial internal transcribed spacer region
Source: RNAcentral